RNAcentral lists this ribosomal RNA (440 nucleotides) under uncultured bacterium. RNAcentral describes it as "partial 16S ribosomal RNA". It matches the Rfam family "Bacterial small subunit ribosomal RNA", at positions 338 to 795 of the family's 1533-position model. The record is from RNAcentral.
CCUACGGGUGGCAGCAGUGGGGAAUAUUGGACAAUGGGGGGAACCCUGAUCCAGCGACGCCGCGUGAGUGAAGAAGUAUUUCGGUAUGUAAAGCUCUAUCAGCAGGGAAGAAAAUGACGGUACCUGACUAAGAAGCCCCGGCUAACUACGUGCCAGCAGCCGCGGUAAUACGUAGGGGGCAAGCGUUAUCCGGAUUUACUGGGUGUAAAGGGAGCGUAGACGGUGCAGCAAGUCUGAUGUGAAAGGUCGGGGCCCAACCCCGGGACUGCAUUGGAAACUGUUGAACUGGAGUACAGGAGAGGUAAGCGGAAUUCCUAGUGUAGCGGUGAAAUGCGUAGAUAUUAGGAGGAAUACUCAUUGCGAAGGCGACCUGCUAGAACAUAACUGACGCUGAUGCGCGAAAGCGUGGGGAGCAAACAGGAUUAGAUACCCCAGUAGUC